This 440-nucleotide ribosomal RNA is filed under the name uncultured bacterium. RNAcentral describes it as "partial 16S ribosomal RNA". It matches the Rfam family "Bacterial small subunit ribosomal RNA", at positions 338 to 795 of the family's 1533-position model. The record is from RNAcentral.
CCUACGGGAGGCAGCAGUGGGGAAUAUUGCACAAUGGGGGUAACCCUGAUGCAGCGACGCCGCGUGAGGGAAGAAGUAUUUCGGUAUGUAAACCUCUAUCAGCAGGGAAGAAAAUGACGGUAUCUGACUAAGAAGCACCGGCUAACUACGUGCCAGCAGCCGCGGGAAUACGUAGGGGGCAAGCGUUAUUCGGAUUUACUGGGUGUAAAGGGUGCGUAGACGGUUAUGAAAGUCUGAAGUGAAAGCCCAAGGCUCAACCAUGGGACUGCAUUGGACACUGUAAGGCUGGAGUGUAGGAGAGGUAAGGGGAAUACCUAGUGUAGCGGUGAAAUGCGUAGAUAUUAGGAGGAACACCAGUGGCGAAGGCGGCUUACUGGACCGUAACUGACGUUGAGGCUCGAACGCGUGGGGAGCAAACAGGAAUAGAUACCCCAGUAGUC